Molecule: long non-coding RNA, 582 nt
Filed under: Manihot esculenta (cassava)
Lineage: Eukaryota; Viridiplantae; Streptophyta; Magnoliopsida; Malpighiales; Euphorbiaceae
Description: long non-coding RNA (MESC_LNC012826)
Source: RNAcentral
AGGUCAGUUGGGUUAUGAGGUCAGCAAUCCUUCAACCUUUGAUUGAACAGGCCUGCCUUAGUACCAGGACGCUUGAUCGAGGCAUCGAGGAAUCUGUACGGUCAAGCACGUAGGUCGAAAAAUCAAGAGCUCAAUAGGUCGGUCAGGGUACCAGGUCGGCAAGCCUUCAACCAGGACGACAAGCAUUCAAAAUUGAAUUUUGUACAAGCUGACAAUGCUACCCGAUCGGCAGAUCUCAAGAGAAGGCUAAACAGGUUGGGUCCUCGACAACCAUUUUGCUAAAGCCCUAAAAAAAAAAGAAGAAGAAGAGAAAAGAAGAAACCUAAAACCAGCCAGCCACCAACCAAGCUAGGUGACGGGGGCUCGUAACCCAAGGGGGUGGGUCCAAAAGGGAGGCCUGCUCAAGCAAGUUCUGCAAAGUAAGCAGCGUCAACGCUCGGCCAGCCUAUAACCCCUCCACAAAUUCAUGCACACAAUUGAUUUAGUGGCGCGGCGAGCGACUCUCACCACCUGAAGAGAGGGAAUUUCUUUCUCUCUCUGAGUAAAAUCGGGAUGGUGGGCUCGGCUAAAUUUCUGGCACGC